Passer domesticus (house sparrow) is the source of this 2145-nucleotide long non-coding RNA. RefSeq lists it as uncharacterized. NCBI's taxonomy places the organism in Eukaryota, Metazoa, Chordata, Aves, Passeriformes, Passeridae. The transcript is spliced from 3 exons. The record is from RefSeq and is a predicted model, not a curated record.
CAGAAUGGUCCACCUGACAAAGACAAAAUAUGCUCCAAUUACAGACUGGGAGCAGAGUGGCUGGAAAGCUGCCCAGCAGAAAAGUCCCUUGGGGUGCUGGGUGACAGCUGGUUGAACAUGAGCCAGUGUGUGCCCAGGUGGCCAAGAAGACCACUGGCAUCCUGGCCUGCAUUAGGAAUUGUGGGGCCAGUAGGACCAGGACAGUGAUCAUAGACCAUACAUGGCACUGGUGAGACUGCACCUUAAAUACAGGGUCCAUUUGUGGGCCACUCAAUUCAGGAAGGUGCUGGAGUGGGUACAGAGCAGGAUAAUGAAGCUGGUGAAGGGUCCGUAGAGAAUGUCCUCUGAGGAGUAGCUGAGGGAGCUGGGGUUGUUUAGCCUGGAGAAAAGGAGGCUCAGGGGAGACCUUAUCACUCUCUACAGCUGCCUGAAAGGAGGCUGUAGCCAGCUGGGAAUUGGUCUCUUCUUCCAGGCAACCAGUGCCAGGAUGAGAGGACACAGUCCCAAGCUGUCGUAGGGGAGGCAUAGGUUGGACUUUAGAAAGAAAUUCUUCACUGUCCCUGGAGGUGUGUAAGGAAACGCUGGCACUUGGUGUAAACAUGGUGGUGUCCAGUCAUAGGUUAGACUUGAUGAUCUCAGAGGUCUCUUCCAACUGAGUUGAUUCUGCGAUUCUGUAAAACCCUGUGACCAAGGAAGGGUGAUUCAAACUAUGAUGAGCACUGAUCAAAGUCAAAGAGGCUUCAAAGCAGUGACAGUGGAAAAUCUGGUGGUCUUUCAAACUGUCCUUCUGAAGAAAUAAGAGCAAGGAAGCUGGGCAAAUUCUUUGUCAUAGAGAUGGGGAAUAUUUACCCAAAGCUGUUGGUUUGUUUGGGGUUUUUUAGCUGAUGUGAAUGAGAUGUUUAGACUUCACCAGGAGAGUGACUCUGCUGCCUUGCAGAGCAUGCACCUGAGAGUGUUAGAGCAAGGCACUGUCCAGAGAUCUGUUGCCAGCAACUUCCUGCCUGGAAUUGGUUUUCUUACAGAAUGAACUGCAGUGGCAAUUGAUUUUUAGAGGUAAGAGAUAGUCCUGGGUGGUAAAGUGCACCAGUGAUGUUUGGCCAAGAAAGGAAAAAGGAGGGAGCAGCUGUGAAGAAGCAGAGAUGGAUUGACUGAUGGGCUUGCUGAGUGAGCAGCAGGCAUUGCUCUGGAAUGAACCAAAUGCUUGCCCACGCUGCUGAUCGAUCCCUGCAGCAGAGGCAGUGAUCAACAACAGUCAGGAGGGACAGGUGGAAAUUGCUGCCAACAUUUAAACACAUCAGUCAUGAUUCUUAUAUAAAUAAGACAGGCAGGUGUUGAACUGUGUUCAUACUGCUGUGAGCAGUAUCCAGAUGGGGAUUUGGGGUUUUGGUUCCAAUUACAACUCGGUGCUAAUCAUCAAAUUAGAUAGUGGGAGCAGUAACUCUUGGAGAAAUGCAGAGACUUUGCUGCCUGCAUCCAGUUGGAGCUAUCUGAAUUCCAGUUUUCCCGCCUGCUUUUGUUCUGAUUAAAUAAGACAGUUAUGUAUCAGAAAUGUGCUUUGACACCAACAGUGUCUUCAGAAAAGCAAUUAUCUGUUUGGACAUUUCAACACUUAGUAUUUCAAAUAAGCUUAUAAAUAGAGAAACAUAUAGGCUGGUGAUAACCUGCUUUAAUUACAGGAGAAAUUAUGCUUCAGAUGGUAUAAAUGGUUCAUUUAUGAAUUUUUCUGCUGAUGUGUGUCUCCUGGGAAUGAUUGCUUGAACUGUCAGGGGAGCUACAGACCUUCUGUUUGUGUCUUUUGUGGUGAAUUAUUGAAAUGCUGCUAAUUUCUGCUGGGUUUUUUGUGGGUAUGCUUUCUAAACAUAAAUAAUCACAACUUGAUGUUAUAUCAAUCUCACCUGGAAUAUAUCAAAUUACUGAAGCAAUAACUUUAUAUAAAUAGGUAUGAUCACUCAAAGAAAAAGGUGGAAAUAAAACCAGCCAAUAAGUUUAUGCAUCAGUAAAUCAGAUGUGAAGUACAGGUAAAUAUUUCAACUGGCACUCUCAAGUGAUGAGCAUGAGGAGUGUCUCUUCCAGGGAAGCAGCGGACUAAGUUCAGGGACAUAAAAGUUGUUUAAUAAAUAAAUAAAUAAUCUGGAAUUAUAGUAA